Molecule: ribosomal RNA, 427 nt
Filed under: Nocardiopsis composta
Lineage: Bacteria; Bacillati; Actinomycetota; Actinomycetes; Streptosporangiales; Nocardiopsidaceae
Description: bacterial SSU rRNA
Rfam family: Bacterial small subunit ribosomal RNA
Source: RNAcentral
GUACACGAGCGGCGAACGGGUGAGUAACACGUGAGCAACCUGCCCCUGACUCCGGGAUAAGCGGUGGAAACGCCGUCUAAUACCGGAUACGACCCUCCGCCUCAUGGCGGCGGGUGGAAAGUUUUUUCGGUCGGGGAUGGGCUCGCGGCCUAUCAGCUUGUUGGUGGGGUAACGGCCUACCAAGGCGAUUACGGGUAGCCGGCCUGAGAGGGCGACCGGCCACACUGGGACUGAGACACGGCCCAGACUCCUGCGGGAGGCAGCAGUGGGGAAUCUUGCGCAAUGGGCGGAAGCCUGACGCAGCGACGCCGCGUGGGGGAUGACGGCCUUCGGGUUGUAAACCUCUUUUACCACUCACGCAGGCCCCGGGUUUUCUCGGGGUUGACGGUAGGUGGGGAAUAAGGACCGGCUAACUACGUGCCAGCAG